CAAGGCUCUCCAGAAUGGGACAUAUCGAGCUCUUUGGUACUUUGACAGCUGGACCUUCCUGUAAUUCAGGUUAUGGUCUCUCCUCUUUGGCUAAUGCCAGCGACCACCCUGUAAUGAGGGGACAGGUUGCAUCUUGCUUUUGAAAUCUGGGGGAUUAGAAUCAUUUGCGUAACAUGGGCAGCUUGACCUCCCUGUAAGUAGGGUUUGAGUCUCCGAGGCCCUUUGGCUGCUUAGUGAGUGUGACUGCCCAGCAAUCAGGGUGCAAGUCACCUCCCCCUAAAUGUGGGGGGGCAUUGAGCUCUUUGUUAAACUGAGCAAUGUGACCGCCCUGUAACUAGGGCCCGGGUCUCUGCCCACUUGCUCAUUUGGCUUUAUGCCAUGCUCUGCCCCAUUAGUCAGCGUGACCCUCUAGUCUCUUGGCACUAGGCCAAAUGCAGCCACUACCCCGAAUGAGCACCCUGUAAACAGGGUACAGGUCUCAUCAGCUACUAUUUAUGGUGCCCCCAUGAGACUGUGUCCAGAGUACUGGCCCUUUAAGCAGCAUUUGCAACGUGCCUGGAAUUCUGCAGCCAAGUCUCCUGCUUUCUCCUCCCUUCUUGGACUCUUGGAGACCUGACAUGCUAUUGGUGGCCUCAUGAAGCAGAAGUGGAGAAGAAGGAAGUGUCAGGAAUGCCACUGACAGAGGAGAAAAGAAGAUGGAGGAAAAGGAAAGGAACUCUGGGCACAGUACCCUCCCUGAAAUCAGCCUCAGGUCAUGUAAUUAGACUGUAUGGGAAUCUCGAGCCUUUUAAUACCUUGAGCAGCGUGACCACACUGUAAGCUGGGUCCCGGUCUGUCCCCUUUGGACAUUCUGCUCCGUCAUCUGGCUAGUGUGAGUGACUGUCCUGUAAUGAGGGUGCCAGUCACCUCCCCCUAAAUGUGGAGGGGCAUUGAGCUCUUUCUUUAAUUGAGCAUUGUGACCGCCCUGUAACUAGGGCCCGGGUCUCUGCCCACUUGCUCAUUUGGCUUUACGCCAUGCUCUGCCCAAUUAGUCAGUGUGACCGCUCUGUAAUUAGGGUCUAUGUCACAAGUUACUCUUAAAUGGGACAUAUCGAGCUCUUUGGUACUUUGACAGCUGGACCUUCCUGUAAUUCAGGUUAUGGUCUCUCCUCUUUGGCUAAUGCCAGCGACCACCCUGUAAUGAGGGGACAGGUUGCAUCUCGCUUUUGAAAUCUGGGUGUUUAGAAUCAUUUCCGUAACAUGGGCAGCUUGACCUCCCUGUAAGUAGGGUUUGAGUCUCCGAGGCCCUUUGGCUGCUUAGUGAGUGUGACUGCCCUGCAAUCAGGGUGCAAGUCACCUCCCCCUAAAUGUGGGGGGGCAUUGAGCUCUUUGUUAAACUGAGCAAUGUGACCGCCCUGUAACGAGGGCCCGAGUCUCUGCCUACUUGCUCAUUUGGCUUUACGCCGUGCUCUGCCCCAUUAGUCAGCGAAACCGCUCUGUAAUUAGGGUCUAUGUCACAAGUUACUCUUAAAUGGGACAUAUCGAGCUCUUUGGUACUUUGACAGCUGGACCUUCCUGUAAUUCAGGUUAUGGUCUCUCCUCUUUGGCUAAUGCCAGCGACCACCCUGUAAUGAGGGGACAGGUUGCAUCUCGCUUUUGAAAUUGUGUGUUUAGAAUCAUUUCCGUAACAUGGGCAGCUUGACCUCCCUGUAACUAGGGUUUGCGUCUCUGAGGACCUUUGGGUCUCUUGGCCUCGUGCUGUCUUCACAGCGUGCUGUGAAGGACCGCCCUGUCAUCAGGGAUCGGGUCUUUGCCCUCUAGUCUCUUGGCACUAGGCCAAAUGCAGCCACUGCCCCGAAUGAGCACCCUGUAAACAGGGUUCAGGUCUCAUCAGCUACUAUUUAUGGUGCCCCCAUGAGACUGUGUCCAGAGUACCGGCCCUUUAAGUAGCGCUUGCAACGUGCCUGGAAUUCUGCAGCCAAGUCUCCUGCUUUCUCCUCCCUUCUUGGACUCUUGGAGGCCUGACAUGCUAUUGGUGACAUCUUGAAGCACAAGUGGAGAAGAAGGAAGUAUCAAUACCAAGGCAUAACUUUGAAUCUGAAAUGCAGAGACCUUAAACACACAAGUUCUAUAGAACGAUCACUUCCUUUUAUUAAGAAGUCAUCAUUUCCUAUUGGAAGUGCAAAGAUGUGACUGAAGGGAAGGCAUAUUUCUAUUCUCCACUCAUCCCCAAUUCUGCCUCCCAAACUCCUCAAAUAAAUUUAAGGUUCACAAAAUUAACAUUUACUCCAGGUAACGCCUAACUUGUGUAUUUCUCACAGAUUUCUAAAAGGGAGCAACAAACUAAAUGUUCUGGCAUCUGACAGUUACUUCCUGCACUUCACAACUUUCAAACACCUACGCUACUUAAACGGUCUCACCAACCAAAGUGUGCCACACAUUCAAUAUUAACUUUGCACCUAUUUUGUCAGAAGUUAGUGUUUUUAGUAGUUGUGUCCAUUGGUGGACGUGGCAAUAGUGGUGUUUUAAUAAUCUUUUAUGCUUAUUGAAUUCAGAGGAUGAUGAUGUGGAUGUUUAGGUAGGUAUUUUUCUGUUAAGUCUUGGUAUUUGGGCAGAGGUGCAGCAUUUUGUGAUUAUGAUUGUUUUUCUGGUAUUGGUUUAGUGUUAAUUGUUGGCAAUUUUAGAUGUUUUUGUGUACUAACAUUAGUAGAUGUAUUUAGUGGGCAAAGCUGAGGUUGUCUGUUUGGUGCAAUUUGAUUGGUGUAAAAGUUAAUUUCGGGUAGGUGUUUGAAAGCCCUGAGCUUUGAAUGUGUAGCUCAAUAGGGAUGCAGGACCCACCUGGCUACCUCAAUUCUUACUUUCAUUCCUAAUUCCAAAAUCUUGGAUGAAGAUGACCAUAUAAAGAAGAAUAAAGAUAUCUCCAGAGACUUUCAAGAGGGUCGCAUUUCUGCAGCUUAGGGGAUCCCUUAAACCUUAUUGAGCUUUUCAAAGUGCAAUAAUUGUGGAAAACUUCUACUUCUGCCACUUAAGUGUUGAACAAUAAUCUGUAUUAAAGGAUUUACACUGGUAGUUAAUUCUGUUCUGUAUUAAGAUGAUUUUGCUAAAAUCACCACUUUAUGAUGUGUGAAAUGAAUUAACUAGGUCUGAUUAUACCUAUUUGAUAAAAGUUGGACUACUCCAUAUUAAAUGCAUGGAUUGAACUUUGAUUGUCAGAUCACAUUGCUUUGCUUUCUGUAACUCCUUAUUUAUGAACGUAUUUAUUACUCUUUAUGUCAUUCAAUUAAUAAAAUGUAU
Molecule: long non-coding RNA, 3273 nt
Organism: Mauremys mutica (yellowpond turtle)
Lineage: Eukaryota; Metazoa; Chordata; Testudines; Geoemydidae
Exons: 3
Source: RefSeq, a predicted model, not a curated record